UGAAUUUUCAGUUUUAUUUAUGGU
This 24-nucleotide non-coding RNA is filed under the name Arabidopsis thaliana (thale cress). The record is from RNAcentral. Lineage: Eukaryota; Viridiplantae; Streptophyta; Magnoliopsida; Brassicales; Brassicaceae.